AUUGAACGCUGGCGGCAUGCCUUACACAUGCAAGUCGAACGGCAGCAUGGAGAGCUUGCUCUCUGAUGGCGAGUGGCGAACGGGUGAGUAAAGCAUCGGAACGUACCGUGUAGUGGGGGAUAACGUAGCGAAAGUUACGCUAAUACCGCAUACGCACUGAGGUGGAAAGCAGGGGAUCGUAAGACCUUGCGCUAUACGAGCGGCCGAUGUCAGAUUAGCUAGUUGGUAGGGUAAAGGCCUACCAAGGCGACGAUCUGUAGCGGGACUGAGAGGAUGAUCCGCCACACUGGGACUGAGACACGGCCCAGACUCCUACGGGAGGCAGCAGUGGGGAAUUUUGGACAAUGGGGGCAACCCUGAUCCAGCCAUGCCGCGUGAGUGAAGAAGGCCUUCGGGUUGUAAAGCUCUUUCGGCCGGGAAGAAAUCGCACAGGCUAAUACCCUGUGUGGAUGACGGUACCGGCAUAAGAAGCACCGGCUAACUACGUGCCAGCAGCCGCUGUAA
RNAcentral lists this ribosomal RNA (504 nucleotides) under uncultured bacterium. Its description in RNAcentral is "partial 16S ribosomal RNA". It matches the Rfam family "Bacterial small subunit ribosomal RNA", at positions 30 to 523 of the family's 1533-position model. The record is from RNAcentral.